RNAcentral lists this ribosomal RNA (254 nucleotides) under uncultured bacterium. RNAcentral's name for it is "partial 16S ribosomal RNA". It matches the Rfam family "Bacterial small subunit ribosomal RNA", at positions 524 to 776 of the family's 1533-position model. The record is from RNAcentral.
UACGGGGGAUGCAAGCGUUAUCCGGAUUUAUUGGGUUUAAAGGGUGCGUAGGCUGUGAGGUAAGUCAGCGGUGAAAUGCCCCCGCUCAACGGGGUGAAGUGCCAUUGAUACUGCCUUGCUGGAAUGCGGAUGCCGUGGGAGGAAUGUGUGAUGUAGCGGUGAAAUGCAUAGAUAUCACACAGAACACCGAUUGCGAAGGCAUCUCACGAAUCCGCUAUUGACGCUGAUGCACGAAAGCGUGGGUAUCAAACAGG